CAAAACGCUGCUCCGAACAAUCGGAACCAAACGAUGAAACGUUGUCCGGAGC
Paenibacillus sp. HGF7 is the source of this 52-nucleotide regulatory RNA element. It matches the Rfam family "uup RNA". Lineage: Bacteria; Bacillati; Bacillota; Bacilli; Caryophanales; Paenibacillaceae. The record is from Rfam.